Molecule: ribosomal RNA, 382 nt
Filed under: uncultured archaeon
Lineage: Archaea
Description: bacterial SSU rRNA
Rfam family: Archaeal small subunit ribosomal RNA
Source: RNAcentral
AACCUUUACAAUGCACGAAAGUGUGAUAAGGGGAUCCCAAGUGCUUAUGCUUUGCAUAGGCUUUUGCCAAGAGUAAAUAUCUUGGCGAAUAAGUGGUGGGCAAGACUGGUGCCAGCCGCCGCGGUAACACCAGCGUCCACAAGUGGUGACCAUGUUUAUUGGGCCUAAAGCGUCCGUAGCCGACUUGAUAACUCUUUUGUGAAAUUGUUAGGCUUAACCUAACAACGUGCAGAAGAAACUGUCAAGCUAGAGACCGGGAGAAGUUAGGAGAAUGUUAGGGGGAGCGGUAAAAUGCUAUAAUCCCUUACAGACUACCUGUGGCGAAGGCGCCUAACUAGAACGGAUCUGACGGUGAGGGACGAAAGCCAGGGGAGCAAAACGG